GACACGCGAUAUUGGUGCGGCUCAAUCAAACCAUAUAGUCGAGAGUUGUGACCGAUUAAAUGGUAAGGUUAAACCGCAACAAUAUCUCGGAU
This 92-nucleotide non-coding RNA is filed under the name Cynara cardunculus var. scolymus (artichoke). Lineage: Eukaryota; Viridiplantae; Streptophyta; Magnoliopsida; Asterales; Asteraceae. The record is from RNAcentral.